AUUUGCUGCUAAUGGAGCUGCAUUUAUGAAUUAUGAUACAGGCUAUCACUGGAGAUUCUGUUCUUUUAAAAUUUGAAAAGGCAAGAUCUGCUCUUGUAGAUAGUCUUAGGCGUGUUUACGACAUUGUCCCACAAUGUAUUGGAUGCCAGAUUUUGGAGAUUGUAAGUGAAUUGGAGGGCAUUGUGUUCUCACUUGAUCCAUUAGAGAAACAAGUGGGUGAUGAAGUAAUUGCAUUGCUUCAGCAAGGGAGAAAAUUUGAUAACUGUAAUGACAAUAAUGAGCUAGAAUCUUUUCAUCAGGCA
RNAcentral lists this unclassified non-coding RNA (302 nucleotides) under Hevea brasiliensis (rubber tree). The record is from RNAcentral. Lineage: Eukaryota; Viridiplantae; Streptophyta; Magnoliopsida; Malpighiales; Euphorbiaceae.